GGUGGUGUGGCUCAGUGGUAGAGCUCUGGCCUUGCACAUAGGAGAUCCUGGGUUUGAUCCCCAGCACCACAA
This 72-nucleotide transfer RNA is filed under the name Cavia porcellus (domestic guinea pig). It matches the Rfam family "tRNA". From Rfam's summary of the family: Transfer RNA (tRNA) molecules are approximately 80 nucleotides in length. Lineage: Eukaryota; Metazoa; Chordata; Mammalia; Rodentia; Caviidae. The record is from Rfam by way of RNAcentral.